RNAcentral lists this ribosomal RNA (873 nucleotides) under Triticum aestivum (bread wheat). RNAcentral's name for it is "partial small subunit ribosomal RNA". Lineage: Eukaryota; Viridiplantae; Streptophyta; Magnoliopsida; Poales; Poaceae. The record is from RNAcentral.
AUGGCGUCCCCAGACGCAUCCUGCGGAGCCCUAACCGCCCACUCGCCGCCCCCCCCGAGGCGCCCCCCUUCUCCUCCCCACGAUCCGCUGCCUACGUAUAAGGGGAAUUCGCUGCAUGCCUUCCCAGAGGAGGAGCCAAAGCAACACCAAGUCGCAGUUUCACGCGCCGCUUCUAAGGGGAGAUAUGCGAGGUUUAAAGAGAAUUUGAAUGCCAAGCCACAGGAGACGAAGCAACACCACCAUCAAGUUGCUGUCUCAUGCGCCGCUUCAAAAGGGAGGAAUCGAGAUGGUUGGAUGUCCCAGGAGAGGAGCACUCCUGAAGGUAUCAACAUGGAGGAACAUGCUUUGAGGUUUCGGCCUCUGCCCCGACCCAAGACGCGUGGCUUUGACCGGGCUUCCAUCGGAAUUACACCUGUAAUGCAAAAGAGGAAACCUCCGGAGGUGAGGAACGCUCUCCGCGAAAGAAGAGUUGCGGCCAAACAAAAGGAUGCACGCUACCACGCGGAAGUGGCCCUACGUAAAUACAACAGAGCGAACAACACUAAGUUUGAGCUGGUGGAGGUAAAAGUGAUAUCUAUAUUUUACGAGUUUGGAGGGGCCGGAGCCCAUUAUAACUUCACAGCUAAGCAGCCUGAGGACCAGCAGAAUGCGGAUGCCGACAGUACCAAGCUUUUCUUCUCUGAAGUUGACCUCUAUUUUCGGAGCGAGAAUGAUGUGAUUAUGUGCUGUAUAGUUGGGGAAAAUGACGCAGGGCGUUGCUAUGGCUGUGAAAACUACCAGCCUGUUGUUCACCCAAGCAGCCAAGCAUACGGCGGCGGUAGUAGUACUUGUAUUGAGCAUCCUGGUUCGGACGGCGAUAGCGACAGCGACUAG